CUUGUUUUCUUUUUUAUUUUCUAGAUUAGCUAAUGACUGUUUUUGGUUGGAAGUCAUCCUUUUGCCUUAGAUUAUGUGUCUUUUAGUGUUUAAGGGAUUCAUGACUCUGUAUGUUCCCCUCGUCUGUUCCCCUUCUUCUUUACAAGGAAGUGUCCUUCUAAUUGAAUUCUCUCUGUACAUAACUUGUUUUGAAAAGAAGGAUUGAUAACUAGUUAGAACACGUGUAAUCAUAAUGCAUCUAGUAUUUCCUGCGAAUUAAGCUCUUAGUAGCUGUUCUUCUUUUCAGAUAAACCCCUUUACUUUUAAAGGAUUUUACUGAAACUCUACAAUGUACACUUCUUCCUUUCACGAUAGAGAAGAUAUUUCCUGUUGUUUGAAAUUGACUUCUACUACUAUGUACACUUCUUAUCUGCAACGCUGCGUCUGUGGAGUGAUGAAUGGACAUGGGAAGAAGCUUCAUAUUCCUAGUACGACGAAGGAGCCUUGGUAAUAUCAUCACAUCACAUGGUCGGUUCUCCAAUGUGUGCUUCUGAUAUAGGUCCAAACUGGUAAUGGAGCUCACAGGAGAACAAAAGGCAUUUGAGCUUCAAAUUAGUGGCUAUCAUCAUCUAAGUAGAUCGUAAUAUAAUUGCCUCAACUGUUAAGAAGUUGUAUUAGCUUUUUAGAUAUGUACAUGGUUGAUAUGGAGAAGUUUGCACUUAAUAGUUUUGCUUUUACGCUUACUCUACUGUACAAAUGGUUGAUAUGGAGAAGUAACACAAUAUGGAUUUUGGGUAGUAA
Long non-coding RNA from Spinacia oleracea (spinach), 780 nucleotides. RefSeq lists it as uncharacterized. NCBI's taxonomy places the organism in Eukaryota, Viridiplantae, Streptophyta, Magnoliopsida, Caryophyllales, Amaranthaceae. The record is from RefSeq and is a predicted model, not a curated record. The transcript is spliced from 3 exons.